Molecule: ribosomal RNA, 335 nt
Filed under: uncultured Septoglomus
Lineage: Eukaryota; Fungi; Glomeromycota; Glomeromycetes; Glomerales; Glomeraceae
Description: partial large subunit ribosomal RNA
Source: RNAcentral
UCAGUCGUACCAACGGGAAAUCAACCUACUUGAGUUGUGAGUUUUGGAUUUUGAAGAGUGUAAAAGCCUUCGGGUUCAGAUAUUUGCGGCUUUUUAGGCGUAAUUUCUAGUUCGGUAGGUUAACAUCGAUUUUGAGGAUUAUAAAAUGAUCGGAGGAAUGUAGCUUCGAUCUCGUAUUGAAGUGUUAUAGCCUUUGGUAGAUGUAAUGAUCAAGAUCGAGGAUUGCAACGAAUACCCUUUGGGCUAUCCGUCUGAUCUCUGAUACGUUGCCUUGGUAACGAAAGCGUGCUUACGGUAUUGAGGUAUUACGGUCAAAAGGUUAGAACGUGAUUACA